Molecule: ribosomal RNA, 708 nt
Filed under: Bacillus sp. HGH0011
Lineage: Bacteria; Bacillati; Bacillota; Bacilli; Caryophanales; Bacillaceae
Description: bacterial SSU rRNA
Rfam family: Bacterial small subunit ribosomal RNA
Source: RNAcentral
AGUCGAGCGAAUGGAUUAAGAGCUUGCUCUUAUGAAGUUAGCGGCGGACGGGUGAGUAACACGUGGGUAACCUACCCAUAAGACUGGGAUAACUCCGGGAAACCGGGGCUAAUACCGGAUAAUAUUUUGAACUGCAUAGUUCGAAAUUGAAAGGCGGCUUCGGCUGUCACUUAUGGAUGGACCCGCGUCGCAUUAGCUAGUUGGUGAGGUAACGGCUCACCAAGGCGACGAUGCGUAGCCGACCUGAGAGGGUGAUCGGCCACACUGGGACUGAGACACGGCCCAGACUCCUACGGGAGGCAGCAGUAGGGAAUCUUCCGCAAUGGACGAAAGUCUGACGGAGCAACGCCGCGUGAGUGAUGAAGGCUUUCGGGUCGUAAAACUCUGUUGUUAGGGAAGAACAAGUGCUAGUUGAAUAAGCUGGCACCUUGACGGUACCUAACCAGAAAGCCACGGCUAACUACGUGCCAGCAGCCGCGGUAAUACGUAGGUGGCAAGCGUUAUCCGGAAUUAUUGGGCGUAAAGCGCGCGCAGGUGGUUUCUUAAGUCUGAUGUGAAAGCCCACGGCUCAACCGUGGAGGGUCAUUGGAAACUGGGAGACUUGAGUGCAGAAGAGGAAAGUGGAAUUCCAUGUGUAGCGGUGAAAUGCGUAGAGAUAUGGAGGAACACCAGUGGCGAAGGCGACUUUCUGGUCUGUAACUGACACUG